UACAGAGGGUGCGAGCGUUAAUCGGAAUUACUGGGCGUAAAGCGCGCGUAGGCGGCUUUGCAAGCCGGAUGUGAAAUCCCCGGGCUUAACCUGGGAACUGCAUUCGGGACUGCAUUGCUAGAGUAUGGGAGAGGGAAGUGGAAUUUCAGGUGUAGCGGUGAAAUGCGUAGAUAUCUGAAGGAACAUCAGUGGCGAAAAGCGACUUCCUGGACCAAUACUGACGCUCAUGUGCGAAAAGCGUGGGGGAGCAAACAGGG
This 257-nucleotide ribosomal RNA is filed under the name uncultured bacterium. RNAcentral describes it as "partial 16S ribosomal RNA". It matches the Rfam family "Bacterial small subunit ribosomal RNA", at positions 524 to 777 of the family's 1533-position model. The record is from RNAcentral.